RNAcentral lists this ribosomal RNA (562 nucleotides) under uncultured bacterium. RNAcentral's name for it is "bacterial SSU rRNA". It matches the Rfam family "Bacterial small subunit ribosomal RNA", at positions 338 to 916 of the family's 1533-position model. The record is from RNAcentral.
CCUACGGGAGGCAGCAGUGGGGAAUUUUCCGCAAUGGGCGAAAGCCUGACGGGGCAACGCCGCGUGAGGGAUGAAGGCCUCUGGGCUGUAAACCUCUUUUAUCAAGGAAGAAGAUCUGACGGUACUUGAUGAAUAAGCCACGGCUAAUUCCGUGCCAGCAGCCGCGGUAAUACGGGAGUGGCAAGCGUUAUCCGGAAUUAUUGGGCGUAAAGCGUCCGCAGGCGGUCUUGUAAGUCUGUCGUUAAAGCGUGGAGCUUAACUCCAUUUCGGCGGUGGAAACUACAAGACUAGAGUGUGGUAGGGGCAGAGGGAAUUCCCGGUGUAGCGGUGAAAUGCGUAGAUAUCGGGAAGAACACCAGUGGCGAAGGCGCUCUGCUGGGCCAUAACUGACGCUCAUGGACGAAAGCUAGGGGAGCGAAAGGGAUUAGAUACCCCUGUAGUCCUAGCCGUAAACGAUGAACACUAGGUGUCGGGGGAAUCGACCCCUCGGUGUCGUAGCUAACGCGUUAAGUGUUCCGCCUGGGGAGUACGCACGCAAGUGUGAACUCAAAGGAAUUGACGG